AAAGGGUCCGUACGCGGUCUUGUAAGUCAGUGGUGAAAGCCCAUCGCUCAACGGUGGAACGGCCAUUGAUACUGCAGGACUUGAAUUAUUGGGAAGUAACUAGAAUAUGUAGUGUAGCGGUGAAAUGCUUAGAGAUUACAUGGAAUACCAAUUGCGAAGGCAGGUUACUACCAAUCGAUUGACGCUGAUGGACGAAAGCGUGGGUAGCGAACAGGAUUAGAUACCCUGGUAGUCCACGCCGUAAACGAUGGAUACUAGCUGUUGGGGGCAACUUCAGUGGCUAAGCGAAAGUGAUAAGUAUCCCACCUGGGGAGUACGAACGCAAGUUUGAAACUCAAAGGAAUUGACGGGGGCCCGCACAAGCGGUGGAGCAUGUGGUUUAAUUCGAUGAUACGCGAGGAACCUUACCAAGGCUUAAAUGCAGACUGACCGAUUUGGAAACAGAUCUUUCGCAAGACAGUUUACAAGGUGCUGCAUGGUUGUCGUCAGCUCGUGCCGUGAGGUGUCAGGUUAAGUCCUAUAACGAGCGCAACCCCUGUUGUUAGUUGCCAGCGAGUCAUGUCGGGAACUCUAACAAGACUGCCAGUGCAAACUGUGAGGAAGGUGGGGAUGACGUCAAAUCAUCACGGCCCUUACGCCUUGGGCUACACACGUGCUACAAUGGCCGGUACAGAGAGCAGCCACUGGGCGACCAGGAGCGAAUCUAUAAAGCCGGUCACAGUUCGGAUCGGAGUCUGCAACUCGACUCCGUGAAGCU
Molecule: ribosomal RNA, 757 nt
Filed under: Flexibacter sp. FR1
Lineage: Bacteria; Pseudomonadati; Bacteroidota; Cytophagia; Cytophagales; Flexibacteraceae
Description: bacterial SSU rRNA
Rfam family: Bacterial small subunit ribosomal RNA
Source: RNAcentral